Molecule: ribosomal RNA, 305 nt
Filed under: uncultured bacterium
Lineage: Bacteria
Description: bacterial SSU rRNA
Rfam family: Bacterial small subunit ribosomal RNA
Source: RNAcentral
AGGCCCUACGGGGCGCAGCAGUGAGGAAUAUUGGUCAAUGGGCGGGAGCCUGAACCAGCCAAGUCGCGUGAGGGAAGACGGUCCUAUGGAUUGUAAACCUCUUUAGGCGGGGAGCAAUGCCGGGCACGCGUGUCCGGAGGGAGAGUACCCGCAGAAUAAGCAUCGGCUAACUACGUGCCAGCAGCCGCGGUAAUACGUAGGGGGCAAGCGUUAUCCGGAUUCACUGGGUGUAAGGGAGCGUAGACGGCCAUGCAAGCCUGGAGUGAAAGCCCGGGGCCCAACCCCGGGACUGCUCUGGGAACUGU